ACACCCUCUCUUCUCCUAUCUCUACCUCAUGUAGUCUUCAUCGACUAGGAUCUCAUCGUGAAUCACCAAAAUUAGAUAAGAGAAAAUAGCCUGACUUAAACCCUUAUUUUAGGUUGGAUUAUCAGCCCCAUUUUUCUUUUUUCUGAUCGUUUCCACCACUAGCCUUCAUAAUCAUGGCCCUUGGUAUCUCUCUUACACCAGCUACUAGCCUAUGCGAGGGCCCCAAUCGCUUGUGAGCAGUCUUGGUCUCCAAAAUGAUCAGGCAAUAAGUCCUUGUUCAACCCUCUAUUUGGUCAACCUAUGUGCAUCUUCUCACCAAUCGCCAUCGCCGACCACC
This 337-nucleotide long non-coding RNA is filed under the name Elaeis guineensis (African oil palm). RNAcentral's name for it is "long non-coding RNA (EGUI_LNC042242)". The record is from RNAcentral. Lineage: Eukaryota; Viridiplantae; Streptophyta; Magnoliopsida; Arecales; Arecaceae.